GAUGAAGAACGCAGCGAAAUGCGAUAAGUAAUGCGAAUUGCAGAAUUCAGUGAGUCAUCGAAUCUUUGAACGCACAUUGCGCCCUGUGGUAUUCCGCAGGGCAUGCCUGUUCGAGCGUCAUUUCAACCCUCAAGCCUCGCUUGGUGUUGGGCCCUGCCCGCCGCGGCCGGCCCUAAAGAUAGUGGCGGCGCCGCCUGGCCCUCAGCGUAGUACAGCUCUCGCUCCAGGGCCCGGCGGCAGCCUGCCAGAACCCCCCAACUCUGUGGUUGACCUCGGAUCAGGUAGGGAUACCCGCUGAACUUAAGCAUAUCAAUAAGCGGAGGA
RNAcentral lists this unclassified non-coding RNA (324 nucleotides) under soil metagenome. RNAcentral describes it as "partial contains 5.8S ribosomal RNA, internal transcribed spacer 2, and large subunit ribosomal RNA". The stretch from base 1 to 120 matches the Rfam family "5.8S ribosomal RNA", at positions 35 to 154 of the family's 154-position model. The record is from RNAcentral.